UACGUAGGGGGCAAGCGUUGUCCGGAAUCAUUGGGCGUAAAGAGCGUGUAGGCGGCCCGGUAAGUCUGUUGUGAAAGUCCAGGGCUCAACCCUGGAAUGGCGAUGGAUACUGGCGGGCUAGAGUGCGGUAGAGGAGAGUGGAAUUCCCGGUGUAGCAGUGAAAUGCGUAGAGAUCGGGAGGAACAUCAGUUGCGAAGGCGGCUCUCUGGACCAGCACUGACACUGAGGCACGAAAGCGUGGGGAGCAAACAGG
Molecule: ribosomal RNA, 253 nt
Filed under: uncultured bacterium
Lineage: Bacteria
Description: partial 16S ribosomal RNA
Rfam family: Bacterial small subunit ribosomal RNA
Source: RNAcentral